Molecule: transfer RNA, 72 nt
Filed under: Paragonimus skrjabini miyazakii
Lineage: Eukaryota; Metazoa; Platyhelminthes; Trematoda; Plagiorchiida; Troglotrematidae
Description: Paragonimus miyazakii tRNA
Rfam family: tRNA
About the family: Transfer RNA (tRNA) molecules are approximately 80 nucleotides in length. Their secondary structure includes four short double-helical elements and three loops (D, anti-codon, and T loops). Further hydrogen bonds mediate the characteristic L-shaped molecular structure. tRNAs have two regions of fundamental functional importance: the anti-codon, which is responsible for specific mRNA codon recognition, and the 3' end, to which the tRNAs corresponding amino acid is attached (by aminoacyl-tRNA synthetases). tRNAs cope with the degeneracy of the genetic code in two manners: having more than one tRNA (with a specific anti-codon) for a particular amino acid; and 'wobble' base-pairing, i.e. permitting non-standard base-pairing at the 3rd anti-codon position.
Source: Rfam by way of RNAcentral
UCCUCCGUAGUGUGGUGGUGAGUAUCUCCACUUGUCACGUGGAAGGCCCGGGUUUGAUUCCCGGCCGGGGAG